UCAUUGGUGGUUCAGUGGUAGAAUUCUCACCUUCUAUGUGGGAGACUUGGGUUCGAUUUUCUCCCAAUGCA
This 71-nucleotide transfer RNA is filed under the name Loxodonta africana (African savanna elephant). It matches the Rfam family "tRNA". Rfam says of the family: Transfer RNA (tRNA) molecules are approximately 80 nucleotides in length. Their secondary structure includes four short double-helical elements and three loops (D, anti-codon, and T loops). The record is from Rfam by way of RNAcentral. Lineage: Eukaryota; Metazoa; Chordata; Mammalia; Proboscidea; Elephantidae.